CACGCCUGGCCCUAGGUAAGGACUUUUAACUCAAGGUGUGCUGAUCAAAACUUCGUCGCUGAAAUGAGCAUGGAAGAGAACCUCUUUCUUCUGGGCUCACCAACCUGAAAGAAUGUGAGUCUGCGCUGUUUGCCGCCACCUUCAUCUUGCUUUCGUGGGGAAAGCCUGACUGAAUAAUGAAGCCAAUCGGGACUGCUCUGCUGAGGACUGGCAAGGGAGAGAGAGAGCCCUGGGAUAAAUGCUUGAGCAACUGGACCAAACUGUGAAGAAUUCUAAAAUCAUCUUUUAUUUACCAGGCUAGAGUGCAAUGGCUGGAUCUCGGCUCACCGCAACCUCCACCUCCCAGGUUCAAGCAAUUCUCCUGCCUCAGCCUCCGGAGUAGCUGGGAUUACAGGCAUGCGCCACCACGUCCGACUAAUUUCAGUUUUCUCACUUGCCAAGUGUAAGAGUCCUGAUAAUACGGUAACAGAGAUGGACACAGAGGGCUUGAUAUUUGUGACGUAAGUGAGAAGACCACAUAACUGUGUCCGUACUGAAAAUAUUAAUAAAGCCUAUCUUCUGUCUCUCUUCUAUCAUCCCUGAGUAAAUGGGCUGUUUAGUGACUUAUACGACAGGAUAGUAUAUUUUUUAAAAUGUAAGUAUUAAUUUAUAUGUUCUUCCCUCUUCCUGCA
RNAcentral lists this long non-coding RNA (671 nucleotides) under Homo sapiens (human). RNAcentral describes it as "HSALNT0121443". Lineage: Eukaryota; Metazoa; Chordata; Mammalia; Primates; Hominidae. The record is from RNAcentral.